Molecule: ribosomal RNA, 253 nt
Filed under: uncultured prokaryote
Description: partial 16S ribosomal RNA
Rfam family: Bacterial small subunit ribosomal RNA
Source: RNAcentral
ACGGAGGGUGCGAGCGUUGUUCGGAAUCACUGGGCGUAAAGGGCGUGUAGGCGGUCCGCUAAGUCUGAUGUGAAAGCCCGGGGCUCACCCCCGGAAGUGCAUUGGAAACUGGCGAACUCGAGUCCCGGAGAGGAGAGUGGAAUUCCUGGUGUAGCGGUGAAAUGCGUAGAUAUCGAGAGGAACACCUGCGGCGAAGGCGGGUUGCUGGGCUGACACUGACGCUGAACUGCGAAAGCUAGGGGAGCGAACGGGA